Molecule: ribosomal RNA, 322 nt
Filed under: uncultured eukaryote
Lineage: Eukaryota
Description: partial 18S ribosomal RNA
Rfam family: Eukaryotic small subunit ribosomal RNA
Source: RNAcentral
CCCUUAGAUGUUCUGGGCUGCACGCGCGCGACAAUGACGUUUGCAACGAGAUUGCGAGGCCGUCAGGUCGAGCUGAUCUUGCAAGCUGCGUCGUGAUAGGGACAGUCGAUUGCAAUUAUUCGACUCGAACGAGGAAUUCCUUGUAAUCGCGCAUCAUCAGUGCGCGCUGAAUACGUCCCUGCCCUUUGUACACACCGCCCGUCGCACCUACCGAUUGAAUGGUUCGGUGAAGAUCUCGGACUUCGAUAUUUGUUCUUCAUUGAACUUAUAUAGUGGGAAGUUAUCUGAACCUCAUCAUUUAGAGGAAGGUGAAGUCGUAACA